This is a non-coding RNA of Podarcis muralis (Common wall lizard), 1577 nucleotides long. The record is from RefSeq and is a predicted model, not a curated record. Lineage: Eukaryota; Metazoa; Chordata; Lepidosauria; Squamata; Lacertidae.
GCGGUUGCCAUGGGACCAGGCGCAGGCGGAAGCCGAAGCAACAGGCGGGAAGCGCGAGGUUAUGUGCUGGCUUAGCCUGGCUGUGUGCAGGGUUAGGCGCGCGCAACACACUGAGCCUCAGUGGGCUGAAAAGAGCCGGGCUCUGUAUAGGAUUGCAGGUUUAGGCGGAGUGGGCGGCGGCAAAAGAAAGCCACCAUGCGUUUCCCUCAUUUCUUGGUUUUCCAUUAAUGUAGCUGUAAGUUCAUGAAGAUACCAACAAAAGAGUUUUACCAGUAGAUGGAGAUAUGUACAAAGAAACAGUUUGUUUUACUAUUAAAUGCUUCCUUCCCUACAGAAAGAACUGGCCUUGGUUUAAAAAUCAUUAGAGUGAAUUUAAUAGAGAAAAGAAUAAUCAAUGAAUGACAUUUUGAAAUGGAUUUUAAUAAACUGCAAAAUAAAUACUGACUUCUUGCCACAGUACUUGAGAGUUUAGUGGAAUAAUUGGUUUCCACGGCAGCUUAUCUGUAGCAUGAAUAAUGUGUGGGUACAAUACAGAUAUUUUUCCUCCAAGCCCCAUUGAAAUAACUGUAAACUAUAUAAAAUGUAUAUUUGACUGCAACAACAGUAUUUCCUACAGAUGUAAGUCCAACAAUAACUGUAUUGAUAAAAUUUAACCAUUUGACUAUGGUUAUCACUGAUUAGAGCUAUUUUUCUUUUUUUAAGAACACUUUGAAUUUCUAACGCUUUUCAGAUCAACCUACAGACUAAGCAAGAAAUACAUACAUACAUAAUUUUACUUGUACACCACCUUUCCAUCAUUUAAACCAUGCUCAAAGUGGCUUGUAGCAUAAAAACACAUUUUGUUACAAGCAUAACAAAAACAGCCAUAAACAAUUAGUAAAACUUCAAAAAGUACAAAACCAAAUUAAACCGUUUCCACAUAAAUCAUAAUAAGAUCUAAAAUAAAGAUACAAAAAAUUAAUAUCGAAAACAGCAACAGCUCCACCCCAACAAAAAAAAAACCCUGAACAAAAACCCCAGCUCAAUAGACUUUCAUCAGUUUCAGCUUCUGCAGCUGGAGUCAGUCAGGGCCCCGCCCUCCCAGGCCAGGUGGGGAAAGGCCUGCAAGGCAGGGAGCAAGUUUUCCAGAACUUUCAGCCAAGAUGGAAAAGGGCCAAAACUGAGCAGCAGGACAUCUGUUCUUCUGGAAGGUCCUAGGUUCAAUUUUCAACAUCUCCAGGUAGGACUGGGAAUAUCCCUUUCUGAAAGAUUAGUCAGACUGUGUAUGUAUUAACAGCUGAAACAUAGCAAGGUAAUUAUUCUUCUCUUCAAACUGAAACUGUUGAGUUUUUUGCAGGGGACAAUGCAUCAAUAUGCAGUAUGCCAUAAGAAAUGACAAGAUAAAUACACGAUUGUGGCAAACUGUGUGUACACAGCACCCAAACCAGCAAUAGGAGCUGACUGGAUACUGUGUGAAUGGGAGUGGGAGUGAGUAGAUAAUUCUGAGCUAGAAUCAGUGGUCUGAUUCAGUAUAAGGCAGUUUCCCAUACAGUGGUACCUCGGGUUACAUACGCUUCAGGUUACAGACUCUGCUAACC